RNAcentral lists this ribosomal RNA (707 nucleotides) under Streptomyces cyaneofuscatus. RNAcentral's name for it is "bacterial SSU rRNA". It matches the Rfam family "Bacterial small subunit ribosomal RNA", at positions 16 to 740 of the family's 1533-position model. Lineage: Bacteria; Bacillati; Actinomycetota; Actinomycetes; Kitasatosporales; Streptomycetaceae. The record is from RNAcentral.
AUCCUGGCUCAGGACGAACGCUGGCGGCGUGCUUAACACAUGCAAGUCGAACGAUGAAGCCUUUCGGGGUGGAUUAGUGGCGAACGGGUGAGUAACACGUGGGCAAUCUGCCCUUCACUCUGGGACAAGCCCUGGAAACGGGGUCUAAUACCGGAUAACACUCUGUCCCGCAUGGGACGGGGUUAAAAGCUCCGGCGGUGAAGGAUGAGCCCGCGGCCUAUCAGCUUGUUGGUGGGGUAAUGGCCUACCAAGGCGACGACGGGUAGCCGGCCUGAGAGGGCGACCGGCCACACUGGGACUGAGACACGGCCCAGACUCCUACGGGAGGCAGCAGUGGGGAAUAUUGCACAAUGGGCGAAAGCCUGAUGCAGCGACGCCGCGUGAGGGAUGACGGCCUUCGGGUUGUAAACCUCUUUCAGCAGGGAAGAAGCGAAAGUGACGGUACCUGCAGAAGAAGCGCCGGCUAACUACGUGCCAGCAGCCGCGGUAAUACGUAGGGCGCAAGCGUUGUCCGGAAUUAUUGGGCGUAAAGAGCUCGUAGGCGGCUUGUCACGUCGGAUGUGAAAGCCCGGGGCUUAACCCCGGGUCUGCAUUCGAUACGGGCUAGCUAGAGUGUGGUAGGGGAGAUCGGAAUUCCUGGUGUAGCGGUGAAAUGCGCAGAUAUCAGGAGGAACACCGGUGGCGAAGGCGGAUCUCUGGGCCAUUAC